GGUUAAACAAGACCAAGAGCCUUCAAAGCCCUCAGUAAGUAAAAACACUUAAUUUCUG
RNAcentral lists this transfer RNA (58 nucleotides) under Macaca nemestrina (pig-tailed macaque). Its description in RNAcentral is "partial tRNA-Trp". The record is from RNAcentral. Lineage: Eukaryota; Metazoa; Chordata; Mammalia; Primates; Cercopithecidae.